UACAGAGGUCUCAAGCGUUGUUCGGAUUCAUUGGGCGUAAAGGGUGCGUAGGCGGCGCGGUAAGUCGGGUGUGAAAUCUUGGAGCUUAACUCCGAAACUGCAUUCGAUACUGCCGUGCUUGAGGACUGGAGAGGAGACUGGAAUUUCCGGUGUAGCGGUGAAAUGCGUAGAGAUCGGAAAGAACACUCGUGGCGAAGGCGACUUUCUGGCUCAAAACUGACGCUGAGGCGCGAAAGCGUGGGGAGCAAACAGG
Molecule: ribosomal RNA, 253 nt
Filed under: uncultured bacterium
Lineage: Bacteria
Description: partial 16S ribosomal RNA
Rfam family: Bacterial small subunit ribosomal RNA
Source: RNAcentral